CUACGGAGGGGACUAGCGUUGUUCGGAAUUACUGGGCGUAAAGAGUUCGUAGGCGGACUGAUAAGUAAGAGGUGAAAUCCCAGGGCUCAACCCUGGAACUGCCUUUUAAACUGUCAGUCUAGAGACCGAAAGAGGUUAGGGGAAUACCUAGUGUAGAGGUGAAAUUCGUAGAUAUUAGGUGGAACACCAGUGGCGAAGGCGCCUAACUGGUCCGGUACUGACGCUGAGGAACGAAAGCGUGGGGAGCAAACAGGAUUAGAUACCCUAGUAGUCC
This 274-nucleotide ribosomal RNA is filed under the name uncultured bacterium. RNAcentral's name for it is "partial 16S ribosomal RNA". It matches the Rfam family "Bacterial small subunit ribosomal RNA", at positions 523 to 796 of the family's 1533-position model. The record is from RNAcentral.